Molecule: long non-coding RNA, 1938 nt
Organism: Pogoniulus pusillus (Red-fronted tinkerbird)
Lineage: Eukaryota; Metazoa; Chordata; Aves; Piciformes; Lybiidae
Exons: 3
Source: RefSeq, a predicted model, not a curated record
AAGGCAGAAGCCCCAAGUUUGCCCAUCUGGGCAGAGGGAUCCUCCUCCUCUCAUCACUGGUGCUGGGUCUCCUUAGGCUGAGCUUCUCUUUGUUUAGGUGCUUCCUUCUGCUUGCUCAUGAAGAGUUGAAGUACUUGGUGGAACUGGAAGCUCACAGGAGGUAACUCUGAAUCAAAUGAACCUUGUAAAGGAAGAGCUAAAGAAGUUAACACACAUUUUCUACCAACAUGAAUGGACAUGAACUGCAGUUGCUUCUAUCAUUGUUACUUUUUAUGUCAAAAUGAUGCUAUUCAGCAUAUUGUGUCCUAUUUUUACCACGCAUUCUGCGUCAUGAAGUUUUAUGGAAACUGAAGACAUUUUAUCAAAGGACAAAAAAGCCCCAAACUGUAGUGUUGUAUUUAAUCAGCCUUGCAUGUAUAUUUUUCUAUUCUGCUAAAUAGGUGAUAGUGCUUUUCUCUAUGCUACUGAAUAAAUUUCAUAUUUAUUCUGGUUGAAUUUGUGCUAACAUAAAAGGAAAAGUAUCCACAUCUUUCAGCAAGGUUAUGACAGUGACUACUGUGAAAGCAGGUUCGGUUAUCUAAAGUAAUCUAAAUUGGAGCAAGGCUGUAAGUCAAAUAACAAAGGAUCCUGACAUAGCUGUGAUAUACUUAAUUUCUUUUCUCAUUAAGGAAUGAUACAGUGUCCUUAAGAGACAGUCAUUUUCUGAGUACCUCAGGGGACCAGAUUAAUGUGGAACUACUAGUAAAGUGCCUAAAUGGACUCAAUCAAGACCAAGUGAAAUCCAUACUAGGACUAUUAAAAUGAUAGAAGGAGAAAUUACAAAAUCCUAUUACUGUGGAGAUCUGUCUUCUUAUAUGCUUGGGGGAAAAAAAAACAGAGGAGAGUGAAAGUGAUCUAUCCUUUCUCCUUGCCAGUUCUCCACCAGGUUCCUGAGAGACUUUGAUACAAUAAAUAGUUUUUAUUAUUUAUUUACAUUUUAAAAUAACUACUAGACAAUAUGUUUCUUUGUUUAUUCUCUCUGCUCAUAUGUAAGCAAGACAUAACCUCUUGGUGCAGAAGGUUGUCUCCUUGCUGAGCAGUGCUAAUGAAGUUUACCUAUCACUCAGGAAGAUAUAAGUAGGGCGUAAAUGAUUUAUAGUCCUCACACCAGUCAUCUGACUGCAUGUAAAUUUUGUGAUGUUUGUAAGCAGUGUGAGUCUGAAUGGAGGGCAGUGUGUCAUGUUUAAUGCUUCAGUUAGAUAAGAUUUUGGCUUAUCAGGAGAAGUAGUUUUCUAUUGGGGAAAAGAAGGCCACCAUGUUCUUGCUUUGUAGAGCAGAUUCCUGCAUUUGAGCAGAUUUCUACAUUAGGAGAAUUGUAAAUACUUAGUUUUAUGGCAAUAACUGCAGCAAGGAGCUCUUAGUUUCCAGAAUUAUUUCGUUUUCAUCCAUAUUCUUGCCACUCUGUAAUGAAAUUUUAGGCUAUUUCACUUCCAUUUCAGUUUGCUUUUGUGUCUCUUUGUCCUUGCUUCUAGUAUAAGCCAGGGGAACUGUUGCUGUAGUGUAAAAUCAUAAUCAGCUUCGUAAAAAGACUUGAAAAUAAUUCCAGACAGCAAGGCUGGGAAGAGAAAGUUCUCCUCAACCAUCCACUUGUGAGCUGAGAGGAAGAUCACAGCUUUGCUACAAAAUGCUAUCCUCCACUGUUUCACAAAUCUAUAAACCCUCUCACUAAACAAAUUCCAUUUGUUCUCCUCUGUGCCCUUUAAUUACCCAGUACUUUCCCAUUAACUUAAUUAUUUAAGUGCUUUUCACUCCCAUGCUGUUGCAUGUACAGAUGCUAUGUGUAUAAUACAUUAAACCUGCAUAAUUGACUUACAUUUAACUGUCACCAGUUGUGUAAUGUUCUAUGUUUGUUUUGUAUUCAUGACACCGUGAAGAAAUAAAAAGCUUUGUGUUAGUAAA